This 85-nucleotide transfer RNA is filed under the name Felis catus (domestic cat). It matches the Rfam family "tRNA". Rfam says of the family: Transfer RNA (tRNA) molecules are approximately 80 nucleotides in length. Their secondary structure includes four short double-helical elements and three loops (D, anti-codon, and T loops). Lineage: Eukaryota; Metazoa; Chordata; Mammalia; Carnivora; Felidae. The record is from Rfam by way of RNAcentral.
GCCUGGGUGGCUUAGUCGGUUAAGCGUCUGACUUCGGCUCCGGUCAUGAUCUCGCGGUUCGUGGGUUCGAGCCCCGUCUUGGGCU